AUUUCAGAAAGGCGAGGCUCCUGUGG
RNAcentral lists this non-coding RNA (26 nucleotides) under Cricetulus griseus (Chinese hamster). Lineage: Eukaryota; Metazoa; Chordata; Mammalia; Rodentia; Cricetidae. The record is from RNAcentral.